Molecule: ribosomal RNA, 525 nt
Filed under: uncultured bacterium
Lineage: Bacteria
Description: bacterial SSU rRNA
Rfam family: Bacterial small subunit ribosomal RNA
Source: RNAcentral
GAUGAACGCUGGCGGCGUGCCUAAGGUAUGCAAGUCGAGCGGUAAGGCUUUCACAUUUUGCUUAAACGAUAUAACCCGGUCUCUAGGCUAGAGAUUGGCAGUUUGAGCAAGGCGUGAAAGUACACGAGCGGCGGACGGCUGAGUAACACGUAGGAAUGUACCCCAAAGUGAGGGAUAAGCACCGGAAACGGUGUCUAAUACCGCAUACGCUCUUCGGAGUAAAGACUUCGGACGCUAUGGGAACGGCCUGCGCAUGAUUAGCUUGUUGGUGAGGUAAUGGCUCACCAAGGCGAUGAUCAUUAGCUGGUCUGAGAGGAUGAUCAGCCAGACUGGGACUGAGACACGGCCCAGACCCCUACGGGGGGCAGCAACUAGGAAUCUUCCACAAUGGACGAAAGUCUGAUGGAGCAACGCCGCGUGCAGGAUGAAGGCUUUCGGGUCGUAAACUGCUUUUUUCUGUGAUGAUAAUGACAGUAGCAGACGAAUAAGGAUCGGCUAACUCCGUGCCAGCAGCCGCAGUAACAC